RNAcentral lists this ribosomal RNA (253 nucleotides) under uncultured bacterium. RNAcentral's name for it is "partial 16S ribosomal RNA". It matches the Rfam family "Bacterial small subunit ribosomal RNA", at positions 524 to 776 of the family's 1533-position model. The record is from RNAcentral.
UACGGAGGGUGCGAGCGUUGUCCGGAUUUAUUGGGUUUAAAGGGUGCGUAGGUGGCUAUUUAAGCCAGUGGUGAAAGCCCAUCGCUUAACGAUGGAACUGCCAUUGGAACUGAAUAGCUUGAGUAUCGUUGAAGUAGGCGGAAUUUAUGGUGUAGCGGUGAAAUGCAUAGAUAUCAUCCAGAACACCGAUUGCGAAGGCAGGUGACUACGCCUGGUCUGACACUGAGGCACGAAAGCAUGGGGAGCAAACAGG